This 248-nucleotide long non-coding RNA is filed under the name Marmota monax (woodchuck). The record is from RNAcentral. Lineage: Eukaryota; Metazoa; Chordata; Mammalia; Rodentia; Sciuridae.
UUCCUCAUUACAGGUAAAGUGCAUUGCUGCUUCUAUUACUAAAAGACAUGCAUAAUUCAAGUAAGGCUUUACAAACCCAUUGGAUGUCUAAUGUAGAAGUCACCCUUUGUCCCAACAUAACAUGGCACCCACCACCACUAUUUCUGUGAUCCCCAGGAGAUGGAGUCUGCAGGCUGGUUUUUCUUGCUGAAAUAGGAGGACUUACCUUACCCUACACUGUCUAAUGUGGGCUGGUGUCUAGAGCAGCC